RNAcentral lists this ribosomal RNA (398 nucleotides) under uncultured fungus. RNAcentral's name for it is "bacterial SSU rRNA". It matches the Rfam family "Eukaryotic small subunit ribosomal RNA", at positions 47 to 370 of the family's 1831-position model. Lineage: Eukaryota; Fungi. The record is from RNAcentral.
AGCCAUGCAUGUCUAAGUAUAAAUGACUUUAUACAGUGAAACUGCGAAUGGCUCAUUACAUCAGUUAUAGUUUAUUUGAUAAUACCAAACUUGUCACAAAGUUUACUACUUGGAUAACCGUAGUAAUUCUAGAGCUAAUACAUGCUAAAAAUCUUGACUUAAUAAGAAAGGGGGCAACUCUUUUUUUAUUGGAAGAGAUGCAUUUAUUAGAUACAAAACCAAACUUUUAUACUUGUGGUAAAACAUAAAUGUAGAAAUAAAAUCAAUUUGGUGAUUCAUAAUAACUUUGCGAAUCGCAUAGCCAUUUUGCGCUGGCGAUGGUUCAUUCAAAUUUCUGCCCUAUCAACUUUCGUCGGUAAGAUAGAGGCUUACCGAGGUUUCAACGGGUAACGGGGAAU